AGCGUACUGCUGUGGAUAGUCUCCAUUGGAUUUAACCUACCGCACAAAGACCUGUGCUCUAUGAACGGUGGUAAUGGUGCCCUGCGAGUAAGCUUCUUCAUUGAGGCCAAAAGCGAUUACGUGUUAACCAUACGCAUACGGGUCGACCACCGAAGUUACUGUGAACAAAUCAGUGUGUUCAAAGCAGGCGUUUGCCUUGAAUGAUAAAGCAUGGAAUAACAAGGGAUCGAUUCUCUCGAGUCUUUUUGUUGGUUUUUAACCCGAGAAGGAACAAUUCAAGCUGUGGACUUUUAUAGCGUCGUUCGCGGCACUAUUCAUAAGGCCAUGGCCCAGCGGGAUCAAUAGGGACUGCCGGGGUCGUACGUACUCCCACGUCAGAGGUGAAAUUCUUAGAUCGUGGGAAGACGAACUUCUGCGAAAGCAUUCGACAAGAAUGUCUUCAUUAAUCAAGAACGAGAGUGUGGGGAUCGAAGAUGAUCAGAUACCGUCGUAGUCCACUACUGUAACGAUGCCGUCUCAGGAUCGAGAGAUGUUUCACUUAUGGCUCUCACGGCACUAACCCCUGAAACGAGAAAUCAAAGAUUAUGGGUUCAGGGGGGAGUACAUUCGCAAGGCUGAAACUUAAA
Molecule: ribosomal RNA, 626 nt
Filed under: uncultured marine eukaryote
Lineage: Eukaryota
Description: bacterial SSU rRNA
Rfam family: Eukaryotic small subunit ribosomal RNA
Source: RNAcentral